CCUACGGGAGGCAGCAGUGAGGAAUAUUGGUCAAUGGGAGGAAUCCUGAACCAGCCAUGCCGCGUGCAGGACGACGGCUCUACGAGUUGUAAACUGCUUUUGUACCGGGGUAAAAUGCCUUACGUGUAGGGUUUUGAAAGUACGGUACCUGACUAAGAAGCCCCGGCUCACUACGUGCCAGCAGCCGCGGUAAUACGUAGGGGGCAAGCGUUAUCCGGAUUUACUGGGUGUAAAGGGAGCGUAGACGGCUGGACAAGUCUGAAGUGAAAGCCCGUGGCUCAACCGCGGAACUGCUUUGGAAACUGUAAAGCUGGAGUACUGGAGAGGCAGGCGGAAUUCCUAGUGUAGCGGUGAAAUGCGUAGAUAUUAGGAGGAACACCAGUGGCGAAGGCGGCCUGCUGGACAGAAACUGACGUUGAGGCUCGAAAGCGUGGGGAGCAAACAGGAUUAGAUACCCCAGUAGUC
Molecule: ribosomal RNA, 465 nt
Filed under: uncultured bacterium
Lineage: Bacteria
Description: partial 16S ribosomal RNA
Rfam family: Bacterial small subunit ribosomal RNA
Source: RNAcentral